Molecule: ribosomal RNA, 501 nt
Filed under: uncultured Desulfobulbus sp.
Lineage: Bacteria; Pseudomonadati; Thermodesulfobacteriota; Desulfobulbia; Desulfobulbales; Desulfobulbaceae
Description: bacterial SSU rRNA
Rfam family: Bacterial small subunit ribosomal RNA
Source: RNAcentral
GCCCGCUCAGAAACUCAAAGGAAGUUGACGGGGCCCGCACAAGCGGUGGAGUAUGUGGUUUAAUUCGAUGCAACGCGAAGAACCUUACCUGGUCUUGACAUCCCGGAGACCCUUAGGAAACUAGGGGGUGCUUCCAUCUGGAAGAAUCUGGAGACAGGUGCUGCAUGGCUGUCGUCAGCUCGUGUCGUGAGAUGUUGGGUUAAGUCCCGCAACGAGCGCAACCCUUGCCUUUAGUUGCCAGCAGUUCGGCUGGGCACUCUAAAGGGACUGCCGGUGUUAAACCGGAGGAAGGUGGGGAUGACGUCAAGUCCUCAUGGCCUUUAUGACCAGGGCUACACACGUACUACAAUGGCCGAUACAAAGGGCAGCGACACUGCGAGGUGAAGCCAAUCCCGUAAAAUCGGUCUCAGUCCGGAUUGGAGUCUGCAACUCGACUCCAUGAAGUUGGAAUCGCUAGUAAUCGUGGAUCAGCAUGCCACGGUGAAUACGUUCCCGGGCCUU